AGGGCAUUGGCUGACUCUGGACUUCCCACAUAGGGCAAUUGGCUUAAUAUGCUGAGGUGUUCAUAUUAUUUUAUACACCAACACUUACCACUUUGGUGCCCUCCUAUGCCCUUAACCAUUGAUGCCCAUCCUGUUUUAUUUCUUUUCACAUUACCUAUCAUUUAUUACUAUACAGUGAUAUCAUUGUGCAGUGCCAAGUACCAGUGGUUCUUAUAUUCAUGUAACACUAGCUUGCUACAC
Pelobates cultripes (western spadefoot toad) is the source of this 240-nucleotide non-coding RNA. Lineage: Eukaryota; Metazoa; Chordata; Amphibia; Anura; Pelobatidae. The record is from the annotation of a GenBank genome assembly.